CAGAUUCAACCACACUGCUGUUUUCCUCCAAGUUGUUAUCUUUCUCAGCUGGAGCAGGUUAGGAUGUUCCAUGGCAACAAAGUACUCCAAAAUUUGGCAGUUUGCAAACAACCAAAGUUUAUUUUCCAAUUACUCUACAUGCCCAAUAGUUGUUAGCAGGGAGUUCUGCUCCAUGGUAUUUUGUCUGAAGAGCCCACAGUGAUGGAGGAAUCUCUUAAUACCAACGUGUAUUACAUCAAACACUGGUGGACUAUCAAUACAAGCUUUGACUUAAACUUCUACCUGGGAAUCACUUCCACUCCUUUGUCUAUUUCAGCAGAAGUGAAGGCCAGUCCAAGUCUGAUGUUAGUGUCUCGGGAAAAUAUAAUUAACCCCCCUGAAGGGAAGCAGGUAGGAGCGAAUCAUAGUAAAAAUCCACCACUCCCUCAACCCCAAUAUCUUUUCUUCAUUUGAGCGAUUUCUUCUCUCUUUUUUGAAAGCUUUAUAGAUCCCUCUUAAAACAUCCAUCAGGAAACAGUGCUUAUGGACAUCAGCUUCACUGGUUCUAAAGCAAGGGUUUCACUGUUGGAAUGUGUAGUCUGACCUUGUUAGCAGAUUUCAACCCGAGACUUAAAUGAAUAACCUGGUUUUAGGACGGGCACCAUCCACAGAACUACAGGAUUUUUUGCUUGAUGGUUCCACACUUACACACAAGAGGACAACCCUCUUCACGAGAAGGACCAGAGCUCCUGUCUGCUCUCUCAGCAGCUGGAUUCCUCUAAUAAGUUACCAAAACCAGGGACCCAGUAACUACUACUCAGCCAGCCCACAGAACCUGUGCGUAUGACACCCUGGUAGUUCCCAAGGACCACAUAACUCCAUGAUGGAAACUCAGCUUGUUUCAGCAACAGUAAUGGGUUUUCUUGGACCCCUCAGCUCACCUGAAGAUGUCUCUUGGUUGGAGCUGUCCUGUCUCUGGGACAGUUGGUUCAAGACAAGAGAAAUGUCUACAGACUGUCUCAUACCAGAAUGAUGGAGCCCAAACAGGGAAAUUGGCCAGAAGCAGCAAUGGCUUCAUUGGUGAAGUGGACCAAAAGUGGACCAAAGUGAGAAGAAGAAGUUCUUACAAUGUGGCCAUUUCUUCUCAGACAUCGGACCUACUACAUCUGUUUCCUGGUUUCCCAUCCAUCCACUUCCUGUCUGUCCAGAAUUCUGUGUCAUUAUCAUUGUUUAUGACGGUCAUCAUGUACAUUUUAAAAGAACAAAUGUAAAUUAAUUAAAGUUUAUUAUUUCAAGUAUAUAUCUAUACAGUGUCUAUGCAUAAU
Molecule: long non-coding RNA, 1304 nt
Filed under: Capra hircus (goat)
Lineage: Eukaryota; Metazoa; Chordata; Mammalia; Artiodactyla; Bovidae
Description: lncRNA (ENSCHIG00000004700.1)
Source: RNAcentral